This 57-nucleotide transfer RNA is filed under the name Bos taurus (domestic cattle). It matches the Rfam family "tRNA", at positions 8 to 63 of the family's 71-position model. Rfam says of the family: Transfer RNA (tRNA) molecules are approximately 80 nucleotides in length. Lineage: Eukaryota; Metazoa; Chordata; Mammalia; Artiodactyla; Bovidae. The record is from Rfam by way of RNAcentral. RNAcentral also lists the same sequence under 6 other names.
UGGCUCAGAGGGUAAAGCGUCUGCCUACAAUGCAGGAGACCCGGGUUCGAUCCCUGG